GGGGUCGUAGCGAAGCCAGGCAUCGCAACGGGCUCCAGACCCGUAGGUCAAGGGUUCAAUUCCCUUCGGCCCCA
This 74-nucleotide transfer RNA is filed under the name Nitrososphaeraceae archaeon. RNAcentral's name for it is "tRNA-Trp". It matches the Rfam family "tRNA". Rfam says of the family: Transfer RNA (tRNA) molecules are approximately 80 nucleotides in length. Their secondary structure includes four short double-helical elements and three loops (D, anti-codon, and T loops). The record is from RNAcentral. Lineage: Archaea; Thermoproteati; Nitrososphaerota; Nitrososphaeria; Nitrososphaerales; Nitrososphaeraceae.